UCCGGCCCCCGAAUGACCUUGGCUUUGCGUGGGUGGAACUCGCGCUGCCUUCCCGGCCUCUGUGGGGGCCAUCUUAGAAACUAGAAUGAGCGCUGAGACAGAGCGCUUGAGGAGGGGAUGGGACACCUUAGAGGUCAACUGAUAAACUGGUGAGAAGGAAGCCAGAUACCUGCAGGUUGAAAUUUCUGGAGAAGGAAGAGCUAAGAGCUUGAGAGGACGAGGAGUGGGUACCAAACCAGAAUCCAAAGUCACACUUCACUGCGUUCAGUAAUAGCUUGUCAAGGUGACAGGAUCCUCAACUGAUAAAGCUGUUCCGUUUAGCACCAGUAAAUGAGCCCACCAACUUUUAAACAAACUAAAGAACCAAACAUGUCUUUCAGUGGUGGAGAUAUUAAAAUAAAAAUACACCACACGUCUUUCUCUUCUUAAAUGCUUUUUUCAUUCCUUCCCAACCCAGAAACUUCCUGCUCUAUCUGAGAUCCCUGCUGAGUUUUCUUUCAGACUGAUUUUCCAGCCAGGUUGAAUAUAUUUGAAAAGGAAGAAAAAAAAAAGAGCGAGCCCAAGGCAUUUACGUGGGGUCAUUCUGAGGGCUAGCUGGGAUUAAUACCCUAAACUGAAUCUGAUCCAUGCUGGUUCUAUCUCUGAAUAUGCUUGCAUUUAACACUAAAUUAUAAAUUAUAUUUUUAGAAUUACUAGUUAAAAAUAAAGACUGAACUAAUGAGUAGACAGAUCUGUAUGCCAAUGAUUUAAAAAAAAGCAACUUUGUUCCAAGCACUUAAACUGUGUCAUACCAGUUGUUCUCAGAGUGUGGUCUCCAGACCAGCAUGAUUAGCAUCACUUAGGAACUUGAGAAAAACACAAAUUCUUGGGCCUUGCUACAGACCUACUUACUGAAUCAGAAGCUUAGAGGAGAUGCCCUGGGUCAGGAAGAUCCGCGAAGAAGGAAAUGGCAACUCAC
Odocoileus virginianus texanus is the source of this 958-nucleotide non-coding RNA. Lineage: Eukaryota; Metazoa; Chordata; Mammalia; Artiodactyla; Cervidae. The record is from RefSeq and is a predicted model, not a curated record.